AGGUAUAAGAAAGCAUCAUUAGUAGAGAAAUAGCAACACAAUAUCUGAAUAUGGGACAAGCGUAGAGUAAAAAUAUUUUAGAACUUAGGAGAACGAAACUACACUCAAAGUAAUUAGAAAAAAAAGAGCACCCAAUAAACAACAACAUAUUGAUUAUUAUUGCCUAAUGGAGAUAAAAUUGAAGUAGCUGAUAAUUGGGUGAUAACUAUAGUUGAUACAUUGUUUGACGAUCAAAUCAAGAAUUUUAGUACAAAACUAUUGAUGAAAGCGAGGGAC
RNAcentral lists this long non-coding RNA (276 nucleotides) under Solanum tuberosum (potato). Its description in RNAcentral is "long non-coding RNA (STUB_LNC001886)". Lineage: Eukaryota; Viridiplantae; Streptophyta; Magnoliopsida; Solanales; Solanaceae. The record is from RNAcentral.